RNAcentral lists this ribosomal RNA (477 nucleotides) under uncultured bacterium. Its description in RNAcentral is "partial 16S ribosomal RNA". It matches the Rfam family "Bacterial small subunit ribosomal RNA", at positions 29 to 523 of the family's 1533-position model. The record is from RNAcentral.
AGUGAACGCUGGCGGCGUGCCUAACACAUGCAAGUCGAACGAUGAUUGGAGAGCUUGCUCUUCAUGAUUAGUGGCGCACGGGUGAGUAACGCAUAGGUAAUAUGCCCCUUAGUCAGGGAUAGCCACUGGAAACGGUGAUUAAUACUAGAUACUCCUUCUUGUCUCAAGGCAAGUCGGGAAAGUUUUUCGCUAAGGGAUCAGCCUAUGUCCUGUCAGUUUGUUGGUGAGGUAACGGCUCACCAAGGCUAUGACGGGUAUCUGGAUUGAGAGGAUGAUCAGACACACUGGAACUGAGACACGGUCCAGAAUCCUACGGGAGGCAGCAGUGAGGAAUAUUGCACAAUGGAGGAAACUCUGAUGCAGCAACGCCGCGUGGAGGAUGACUCAUUUCGGUGUGUAAACUCCUUUUAUUAGGGAAGAUUAUGACGGUACCUAAUGAAUAAGCACCGGCUAACUCCGUGCCAGCAGCCGCCGUAA